AAAAGAGAAAAAAUUAUUAAUAGGACUUAUAUAUUUACGCUUAGUAUUUUUGGUAAAAUAUACAAAAUUUAUCUGAACUGUAGAUCAUUUUACGUUGACUAUUCAUUAUUUGAAAAUUUUAAAUUUAGUAAUUUGAGUUAAUAAAUGAUACUUUGGCUACAAAAUAUUUGAAUGCUUUGUUUAUCUUUACAUAUUUAGUCAAUUAUAAUUUGAAUGCUUUGUUUUAUUUUCAGCAUAACCAAAUUUUAAAUAUACUAAUUCUAAAAGUAAGUAGUUAGCUUAAAAUUUAAAAUCAAAUAAAUAGGACAAUUAAAUAGUAAAAUUAAAAUUUUAAAAACUUAAGUAGCUGAUUUAAAAUAAUUUAUAAUUCAGAUUAAUUUUUUUAUUUUUUUUUUAUUUUUGUCUAAUUUAGAUGAAUGAAUGCGUUGGCAGAAGCAUGUCCUUAUUUAUUUUAGUGCAAACUUGUCUUCUUCGAAGAGACAAAUAAGGAGAAAAAGUUAACACAUCUUAUUCUUGGGAAAACUUCAACAACCCCCCAUGUGAUUUCGUCGUUUCUCACUUUGCUCCCUUGUGGUUUAAAAUGUAUUAAUUUGCUUCCCUGUGGUUUCGUUUUUAUCUUUUCGGUAGCUUUUUCGUUAAUAUUUCAUUAAAUUAUAUAUAAAAAACUUUAGAUAUCCAUCUAGAUUUAUUAAAUAUUCACUUUAGUACUCUUUAAUUUUAACUUUAUCACUGAUUUAAGAAAAAAAAAUAAUGAAAUUGAUAAAAAAAAGAGAAAAAAGAAACCACAGAAUGGCAAAUUGAUAUAUUUUAAACCACAGGAGGGCGAAGUAAGAAGCUAUAAAACAACAGGGGGGGUUUUUGAAGUUUUUUCUAUUCUCUUUAUUGUCAAACAAAUUUCGUGGAUAUAAUAGGACGGAAAAAACAAUUAUUUGAGCCCAUUGGGCACGCCCCUUAAGGCCUCUUAUUAUAGUAUUUUUAUUUUCUAAUAGUAAAAGUAUAAAUAAAAAAAUUGAAAAAAAAGAUAAAAAUAUAAAAAGACCUUAUAUUAUGUUAUAAUGGUUGCAAAAAAGACUUUUUGUGGUACAGAUUUUUUGAAAUAUUUGAUCGACAAAAUUUGUAGAGAUUCAUAUGUGUAAAGAUAAAUUGUAUCACUAGUCUGUUGGCUUAAAAAAGUCAGCAUCCCACUGGCUAAGGGCUUGGUGGUUGGUAUCCGAGACCCAAGUUCGAAUCAUAAUAGAUUCAUAUUUACAGCUAAGUUUAUUUCUAAAUGAAAUAAACGAAACGGAUAGCGUGCUACCUAUCUCUCAAAAAAAAAAAAAAAAAAGGUCAGCAUCCCACUCAUGCGGCGGGAGGCCAAGGUGUGUCGAGUCACAUUCAAAAUAGCGUGAGACUGGAUUGGGCAGAGUCAUAUUUGAAAUGGUGUGAGGCUGGUUGAGUCAAAUUACAAUUGAGACUCGUGGGUAUUAUAUUUAUACGCUUUAAGAGAAUUGAUUGUGUAUUUUUAACAAAUCGAACUUUUGGGAUUAAUGGUUAACGCCAAUGGUCCGAAAGUGAUAUCAGAGCCAGAGGUUAUGGGUUUAAUUCUCGCAUUCUGUAAAUUUGUGCAAAUGCUUGAGGAAGAAUUAUUUGCUUAAAAAAGUUAAUAUCCCGCUCUACGACGGGAGGUUGGGUUGGGCUGAGUCAUAUUCGAAAUGGCAUGAGGCCGAUAUCUUGCCCUGCAACAGGAGGCUGAUUUAGACGGAAUAAUGUUCAAAGUAGCGUAAGACUGGUCGAGCUUUUGAAAUUAAUGGUUAGCAGCAACUUGUCUUUCUCGAGCUUUUAGUGAUAUUUUAUUUUAGUUACCAAAUUCUAAUUUCUUUCAAUCAAAUCAUUAAAUUUCACUUUCUGUUUUAAUUAGGUCAACGAAUAUAAAUUUCAAUAUUUUUUUUU
This 1929-nucleotide long non-coding RNA is filed under the name Ananas comosus (pineapple). Its description in RNAcentral is "long non-coding RNA (ACOM_LNC008607)". Lineage: Eukaryota; Viridiplantae; Streptophyta; Magnoliopsida; Poales; Bromeliaceae. The record is from RNAcentral.